UAAAUNAAAGACCCGUAUGAACGGCUAAAUGAGGAUUUAACUGUCUCCUUUAACCAAUCAGUGAAACUGAUUUUCUAGUACAAAAGCUAGNAAUAAUAUUAUAAGACGAGAAGACCCUGUGGAGCUUUAAAUCUUAACCAAAAUAUGUAUACCCCCUGUAUUUAUGAAACAAUAUUUUAAGUUGGGGCGACUUCGGAGAAAANCACAACCUCCGAGCACAAGAGGUNCAUUCCUAAAUCUAGGCCCACUAGCCUAGACUAACAUUGACCCAGCACUGCUGAUCAACGAACCAAGUUACCCCAGGGAUAACAGCGCCAUCUUCUUCAAGAGUUCAUAUCGACAAGAAGGUUUACGACCUCGAUGUUGGAUCAGGACACCCCAAUGGUGUAGCCGCUAUAAAG
RNAcentral lists this ribosomal RNA (401 nucleotides) under Anolis chlorocyanus (Northern Hispaniolan green anole). Its description in RNAcentral is "partial large subunit ribosomal RNA". It matches the Rfam family "Bacterial large subunit ribosomal RNA", at positions 1976 to 2569 of the family's 2925-position model. The record is from RNAcentral. Lineage: Eukaryota; Metazoa; Chordata; Lepidosauria; Squamata; Anolidae.